RNAcentral lists this ribosomal RNA (464 nucleotides) under uncultured Pelotomaculum sp. RNAcentral describes it as "bacterial SSU rRNA". It matches the Rfam family "Bacterial small subunit ribosomal RNA", at positions 921 to 1382 of the family's 1533-position model. Lineage: Bacteria; Bacillati; Bacillota; Clostridia; Eubacteriales; Desulfotomaculaceae. The record is from RNAcentral.
CCGCACAAGCGGUGGAGCAUGUGGUUUAAUUCGACGCAACGCGAAGAACCUUACCAGGGCUCGACAUCCCCUGACCGCGUAUGAAAGUACGUUUUCACCCUCGGGUGACAGGGAGACAGGUGGUGCAUGGUUGUCGUCAGCUCGUGUCGUGAGAUGUUGGGUUAAGUCCCGCAACGAGCGCAACCCCUACGUUUAGUUGCUAACAGGUGAAGCUGAGCACUCUAGACGAACUGCCGUUGACAAAACGGAGGAAGGUGGGGAUGACGUCAAAUCAUCAUGCCCCUUAUGUUCUGGGCUACACACGUGCUACAAUGGCCGGUACAAAGGGUAGCAAGACCGCGAGGUGGAGCCAACCCCAAAAAGCCGGUCUCAGUUCGGAUUGGAGUCUGCAACUCGACUCCAUGAAGUUGGAAUCGCUGGUAAUCGUGGAUCAGCAUGCCACGGUGAAUACGUUCCCGGGCCUU